Molecule: ribosomal RNA, 478 nt
Filed under: uncultured bacterium
Lineage: Bacteria
Description: partial 16S ribosomal RNA
Rfam family: Bacterial small subunit ribosomal RNA
Source: RNAcentral
GACGAACGCUGGCGGCGUGCUUAACACAUGCAAGUCGAACGGUAAGGCCCUUCGGGGUACACGAGUGGCGAACGGGUGAGUAACACGUGGGUGAUCUGCCCUGCACUUCGGGAUAAGCCUGGGAAACUGGGUCUAAUACCGGAUAGGACCCUGGGAUGCAUGUCCUGGGGUGGAAAGCUUUUGCGGUGUGGGAUGGGCCCGCGGCCUAUCAGCUUGUUGGUGGGGUGAUGGCCUACCAAGGCGACGACGGGUAGCCGGCCUGAGAGGGUGACCGGCCACACGGGGACUGAGAUACGGCCCAGACUCCUACGGGAGGCAGCAGUGGGGAAUAUUGCACAAUGGGCGCAAGCCUGAUGCAGCGACGCCGCGUGGGGGAUGACGGCCUUCGGGUUGUAAACCUCUUUCAGCACCGACGAAGCGCAAGUGACGGUAGGUGCAGAAGAAGGACCGGCCAACUACGUGCCAGCCGCCGCUGUAA